This 192-nucleotide non-coding RNA is filed under the name Paracoccus denitrificans. RNAcentral also lists the same sequence under 1 other name. Lineage: Bacteria; Pseudomonadati; Pseudomonadota; Alphaproteobacteria; Rhodobacterales; Paracoccaceae. The record is from RNAcentral.
GCUAACUGCAACGGUCAUGGUUGUCCCGGGGCCGACUCGGGGAUGAAAAGGGAAGCCGGUGAAAAGCCGGCACUGCCCCCGCAGCUGUAAGCGGAGAGCGACGCCGGAUCACCACUGGGGCCACGCGCCCCGGGAAGGCCGGCCAAGCCGAGACCCGCAAGUCAGAAGACCUGCCAUGACGCGAAAGGACGA